This is a long non-coding RNA of Neomonachus schauinslandi (Hawaiian monk seal), 100 nucleotides long. RefSeq lists it as uncharacterized. The transcript has 3 exons. Lineage: Eukaryota; Metazoa; Chordata; Mammalia; Carnivora; Phocidae. The record is from RefSeq and is a predicted model, not a curated record.
CCUUCUGUAUUUCCUCACAAGCUAAGAUUUGUCAAUUUUGUUUUGGAAGAUGUUGGAUGUGUCUAUUACAUGCGAUGGUGACAGGAUGCAUUGUUCGUGA